UACGGGGGGAGCAAGCGUUGUUCGGAUUUACUGGGCGUAAAGGGCGCGUAGGCGGUCAGCACAAGUCAGUUGUGAAAUCUCCGGGCUUAACUCGGAAAGGUCAACUGAUACUGUGCGACUAGAGUGCAGAAGGGGCAACUGGAAUUCUUGGUGUAGCGGUGAAAUGCGUAGAUAUCAGGAAGAACACCUAUGGCGAAGGCAGCUCUCUGGGACGGUACUGACGCUGAGACGCGAAAGCGUGGGGAGCGAACAGG
Molecule: ribosomal RNA, 254 nt
Filed under: uncultured prokaryote
Description: partial 16S ribosomal RNA
Rfam family: Bacterial small subunit ribosomal RNA
Source: RNAcentral